This 24-nucleotide non-coding RNA is filed under the name Arabidopsis thaliana (thale cress). Lineage: Eukaryota; Viridiplantae; Streptophyta; Magnoliopsida; Brassicales; Brassicaceae. RNAcentral also lists the same sequence under 1 other name. The record is from RNAcentral.
UGUGAACGGCACUUGCACAUGGGU